Molecule: ribosomal RNA, 2921 nt
Filed under: Staphylococcus aureus
Lineage: Bacteria; Bacillati; Bacillota; Bacilli; Caryophanales; Staphylococcaceae
Description: 23S ribosomal RNA
Rfam family: Bacterial large subunit ribosomal RNA
Source: RNAcentral
UUAAGUUAUUAAGGGCGCACGGUGGAUGCCUUGGCCCUAAAAGCCGAUGAAGGACGUUACUAACGACGAUAUGCUUUGGGGAGCUGUAAGUAAGCUUUGAUCCAGAGAUUUCCGAAUGGGGAAACCCAGCAUGAGUUAUGUCAUGUUAUCGAUAUGUGAAUACAUAGCAUAUCAGAAGGCACACCCGGAGAACUGAAACAUCUUAGUACCCGGAGGAAGAGAAAGAAAAUUCGAUUCCCUUAGUAGCGGCGAGCGAAACGGGAAGAGCCCAAACCAACAAGCUUGCUUGUUGGGGUUGUAGGACACUCUAUACGGAGUUACAAAGGACGACAUUAGACGAAUCAUCUGGAAAGAUGAAUCAAAGAAGGUAAUAAUCCUGUAGUCGAAAAUGUUGUCUCUCUUGAGUGGAUCCUGAGUACGACGGAGCACGUGAAAUUCCGUCGGAAUCUGGGAGGACCAUCUCCUAAGGCUAAAUACUCUCUAGUGACCGAUAGUGAACCAGUACCGUGAGGGAAAGGUGAAAAGCACCCCGGAAGGGGAGUGAAAUAGAACCUGAAACCGUGUGCUUACAAGUAGUCAGAGCCCGUUAAUGGGUGAUGGCGUGCCUUUUGUAGAAUGAACCGGCGAGUUACGAUUUGAUGCAAGGUUAAGCAGUAAAUGUGGAGCCGUAGCGAAAGCGAGUCUGAAUAGGGCGUUUAGUAUUUGGUCGUAGACCCGAAACCAGGUGAUCUACCCUUGGUCAGGUUGAAGUUCAGGUAACACUGAAUGGAGGACCGAACCGACUUACGUUGAAAAGUGAGCGGAUGAACUGAGGGUAGCGGAGAAAUUUCAAACGAACCUGGAGAUAGCUGGUUCUCUCCGAAAUAGCUUUAGGGCUAGCCUCAAGUGAUGAUUAUUGGAGGUAGAGCACUGUUUGGACGAGGGGCCCCUCUCGGGUUACCGAAUUCAGACAAACUCCGAAUGCCAAUUAAUUUAACUUGGGAGUCAGAACAUGGGUGAUAAGGUCCGUGUUCGAAAGGGAAACAGCCCAGACCACCAGCUAAGGUCCCAAAAUAUAUGUUAAGUGGAAAAGGAUGUGGCGUUGCCCAGACAACUAGGAUGUUGGCUUAGAAGCAGCCAUCAUUUAAAGAGUGCGUAAUAGCUCACUAGUCGAGUGACACUGCGCCGAAAAUGUACCGGGGCUAAACAUAUUACCGAAGCUGUGGAUUGUCCUUUGGACAAUGGUAGGAGAGCGUUCUAAGGGCGUUGAAGCAUGAUCGUAAGGACAUGUGGAGCGCUUAGAAGUGAGAAUGCCGGUGUGAGUAGCGAAAGACGGGUGAGAAUCCCGUCCACCGAUUGACUAAGGUUUCCAGAGGAAGGCUCGUCCGCUCUGGGUUAGUCGGGUCCUAAGCUGAGGCCGACAGGCGUAGGCGAUGGAUAACAGGUUGAUAUUCCUGUACCACCUAUAAUCGUUUUAAUCGAUGGGGGGACGCAGUAGGAUAGGCGAAGCGUGCGAUUGGAUUGCACGUCUAAGCAGUAAGGCUGAGUAUUAGGCAAAUCCGGUACUCGUUAAGGCUGAGCUGUGAUGGGGAGAAGACAUUGUGUCUUCGAGUCGUUGAUUUCACACUGCCGAGAAAAGCCUCUAGAUAGAAAAUAGGUGCCCGUACCGCAAACCGACACAGGUAGUCAAGAUGAGAAUUCUAAGGUGAGCGAGCGAACUCUCGUUAAGGAACUCGGCAAAAUGACCCCGUAACUUCGGGAGAAGGGGUGCUCUUUAGGGUUAACGCCCAGAAGAGCCGCAGUGAAUAGGCCCAAGCGACUGUUUAUCAAAAACACAGGUCUCUGCUAAACCGUAAGGUGAUGUAUAGGGGCUGACGCCUGCCCGGUGCUGGAAGGUUAAGAGGAGUGGUUAGCUUCUGCGAAGCUACGAAUCGAAGCCCCAGUAAACGGCGGCCGGAAAUAUAACGGUCCUAAAGUAGCGAAAUUCCUUGUCGGGUAAGUUCCGACCCGCACGAAAGGCGUAACGAUUUGGGCACUGUCUCAACGAGAGACUCGGUGAAAUCAUAGUACCUGUGAAGAUGCAGGUUACCCGCGACAGGACGGAAAGACCCCGUGGAGCUUUACUGUAGCCUGAUAUUGAAAUUCGGCACAGCUUGUACAGGAUAGGUAGGAGCCUUUGAAACGUGAGCGCUAGCUUACGUGGAGGCGCUGGUGGGAUACUACCCUAGCUGUGUUGGCUUUCUAACCCGCACCACUUAUCGUGGUGGGAGACAGUGUCAGGCGGGCAGUUUGACUGGGGCGGUCGCCUCCUAAAAGGUAACGGAGGCGCUCAAAGGUUCCCUCAGAAUGGUUGGAAAUCAUUCAUAGAGUGUAAAGGCAUAAGGGAGCUUGACUGCGAGACCUACAAGUCGAGCAGGGUCGAAAGACGGACUUAGUGAUCCGGUGGUUCCGCAUGGAAGGGCCAUCGCUCAACGGAUAAAAGCUACCCCGGGGAUAACAGGCUUAUCUCCCCCAAGAGUUCACAUCGACGGGGAGGUUUGGCACCUCGAUGUCGGCUCAUCGCAUCCUGGGGCUGUAGUCGGUCCCAAGGGUUGGGCUGUUCGCCCAUUAAAGCGGUACGCGAGCUGGGUUCAGAACGUCGUGAGACAGUUCGGUCCCUAUCCGUCGUGGGCGUAGGAAAUUUGAGAGGAGCUGUCCUUAGUACGAGAGGACCGGGAUGGACAUACCUCUGGUGUACCAGUUGUCGUGCCAACGGCAUAGCUGGGUAGCUAUGUGUGGACGGGAUAAGUGCUGAAAGCAUCUAAGCAUGAAGCCCCCCUCAAGAUGAGAUUUCCCAACUUCGGUUAUAAGAUCCCUCAAAGAUGAUGAGGUUAAUAGGUUCGAGGUGGAAGCAUGGUGACAUGUGGAGCUGACGAAUACUAAUCGAUCGAAGACUUAAUCAA